GAUGAACGCUGGCGGCGUGCUUAACACAUGCAAGUCGAACGAUGAAGCCCAGCUUGCUGGGUGGAUUAGUGGCGAACGGGUGAGUAACACGUGAGUAACCUGCCCUUAACUCUGGGAUAAGCCUGGGAAACUGGGUCUAAUACCGGAUAGGAGCGUCCACCGCAUGGUGGGUGUUGGAAAGAUUUAUCGGUUUUGGAUGGACUCGCGGCCUAUCAGCUUGUUGGUGAGGUAAUGGCUCACCAAGGCGACGACGGGUAGCCGGCCUGAGAGGGUGACCGGCAACAGUGGGACUGAGACAGGCCCCAGCCUCCGAGGGGGGGAAGCGGGGGGGAGUAUGACACAGGGGGCGAGGGCGGGAGGCAGCGGCGCGGGGGGAGGGAGGACGGCUUUGGGUUGGAAAACUUCUUGCAGGGGAAAAGAAGCAAAAGUGAGGGUCCCUAAAAAAGAAGCCCCGGCUAACUACGUG
This 466-nucleotide ribosomal RNA is filed under the name uncultured bacterium. Its description in RNAcentral is "partial 16S ribosomal RNA". It matches the Rfam family "Bacterial small subunit ribosomal RNA", at positions 28 to 507 of the family's 1533-position model. The record is from RNAcentral.